UGUUAAAAAUUUCAUCCAUUUGUACUAUUAAAAACUAGUGUGAUUAACAAAAUAAUAAUUAGAUCAUUCUGAUAUAUAAAUAUCAGUCUUUAACGGUAGAAAUUGAUGAAACUUUAAUA
This 119-nucleotide microRNA precursor is filed under the name Gossypium hirsutum (cotton). RNAcentral's name for it is "MIR7502 microRNA precursor family". It matches the Rfam family "MIR7502 microRNA precursor family". The record is from Rfam by way of RNAcentral. Lineage: Eukaryota; Viridiplantae; Streptophyta; Magnoliopsida; Malvales; Malvaceae.